This 336-nucleotide ribosomal RNA is filed under the name Triticum aestivum (bread wheat). RNAcentral's name for it is "partial small subunit ribosomal RNA". The record is from RNAcentral. Lineage: Eukaryota; Viridiplantae; Streptophyta; Magnoliopsida; Poales; Poaceae.
AUGUUUCGGUGCUCAGUGUUCUUCGUGGGAACUCAUCCAGUGUGUAUUCUUUCUGUGUUAACUUUGUCAAGUGGAAACAGACCUGAGAAUAAAUUCUUGUUUGUGGGGUGUGAUGUUAGCCUUCUUCAGCCAAAAUAUUGUGUCCAUGCCUGCUCCUUUUCCGCACCCAGUCAGCGAAGAUUAAUCUCACACGCAUCAGUGGAUACAAAUACAUAUUUUUUCGAUCACAAGGAUUAUGAUCAAACAAACAGAAAAAAGGUCAGAGAGAUACAUUCUGUGACCUCCCUCUCUAUACAAACUGCUUCACUACGAUGGCCAGAUUUUUCCUUUCCAUAA